RNAcentral lists this ribosomal RNA (159 nucleotides) under Izanami curtispina. RNAcentral's name for it is "partial 16S ribosomal RNA". The record is from RNAcentral. Lineage: Eukaryota; Metazoa; Arthropoda; Malacostraca; Decapoda; Matutidae.
UCUUUAUAUAAGAAAAAGUGUAAUUAAUUUAUUUUAUAAAAAUUUAAGUUCGUAUUGUAUUUUAUUGGGGCAAUGUAAAUAUAAUUUAUUUAACUGUUUAUUAUAAUUAACAUAAUUUAUGAAUUAAUUGAUCCUUUUUAGAGAUUAAAAGAAGAAGUU